Long non-coding RNA from Lagenorhynchus albirostris (white-beaked dolphin), 258 nucleotides. RefSeq lists it as uncharacterized. NCBI's taxonomy places the organism in Eukaryota, Metazoa, Chordata, Mammalia, Artiodactyla, Delphinidae. The transcript is spliced from 3 exons. The record is from RefSeq and is a predicted model, not a curated record.
CGACCCUGCUUCGGUACCCGAGGGAGGAGGAAAGCAGGGCGGAAGGACAUGUACAGUGUGUUUUGCUGAACAGUUUGAGAUGUUCAUCCUCACAUGGACCAUCUGUCACCUGCUGCAGGGCAAAACCUACUGAGAACAACAGGCGGCUAUUCCGUGAAAGGCUGUCUCCAUGUGGUGUCAGUGGCUCCUGGAAACUGCAGAAUUAGUUGGUCCUCAAAUAAUACGAUCUCACAGAAGGAGAGAAAACCAUCUGUUCUU